UAACACAAACCAAACUCAGCACGACAGGCACGCAAAGGCAAACAAACAUCACCAAAAUCAAAGAAAACUAAACAAACAGGGGUCGACCUUGAAUACCGAAGAACAAGAAGGAACAAUCACUUACAGAGAAGUGAAUCAAGCAUGGAAAAACAUUACACAUACAUUCAGAAUUGAAAAAUGAAAACGAAGAAGGGGCGAGAAAGCUACCGGAUCGGAUACUUUGGAGACAAAUGAACAGGUAUAUGAUCUCCUACGCUUCUAAUUUCUUUGAGUCCAACUGUAAAUCUUUCCUUCUUCGUUAUUGAACAGUAGCGGUCGAAUUCCCUUCGUGUUCAGUAGUGGCGGCUGGAAAUCAAUAGGGUUUCGAUUAGAAUUCGUUUAGGGUUUUUUCGUCGUAUUCAAUUCCUCUAGGGUUUAUUUUGAAUUGUAGCCGCUCCUCUCAUCCCCUUUUUUCUGAACAGUAUCCCCUCUUUUAUACCCAGCUUACUAGGGUUUCAAAUUGGCUUCCGG
Molecule: long non-coding RNA, 510 nt
Filed under: Lathyrus oleraceus (garden pea)
Lineage: Eukaryota; Viridiplantae; Streptophyta; Magnoliopsida; Fabales; Fabaceae
Description: Pisum sativum (pea) long non-coding RNA (PSAT_LNC003703)
Source: RNAcentral